Phascolarctos cinereus (koala) is the source of this 350-nucleotide non-coding RNA. The record is from RefSeq and is a predicted model, not a curated record. Lineage: Eukaryota; Metazoa; Chordata; Mammalia; Diprotodontia; Phascolarctidae.
CAUGAGGGGUAUCUGAAACUGGUUUUGGUCAAAGGGAUGGCUCUCUGGGAUGGAGGAAGAGGAGCAGGAUGGGAACAUAGGAGCACCUAUCUCCCAGAGCUAUUGUGAAGAUUAAAUGAUAUAGCAAAUGGAAAGGGCUUUGCAAACCCUAAUGACGUACAGAAAUCUGAGCUGCGUGGAGGACAGAUUGCAGCGGGACAACACUGGAGCCAAAAAGGUCACAACGACUCUUGAAGGCCAAUGAGGAACAUUCAUUGGAAACAUGAUUCUAAAACAUUUCUUGAUUAAAGAAAUUUGCUAUGAAAGGAAAAAGAGGAACAUAGUAACCAUAUAUCAGGGGGGAAAUUCCC